UACGUAGGGUGCAAGCGUUAAUCGGAAUUACUGGGCGUAAAGCGUGCGCAGGCGGUUGUGCAAGACAGGUGUGAAAUCCCCGGGCUUAACCUGGGAACUGCACUUGUGACUGCACAGCUGGAGUACGGCAGAGGGGGAUGGAAUUCCGCGUGUAGCAGUGAAAUGCGUAGAUAUGCGGAGGAACACCAAUGGCGAAGGCAGUCCCCUGGGCCUGUACUGACGCUCAUGCACGAAAGCGUGGGGAGCAAACAGG
This 253-nucleotide ribosomal RNA is filed under the name uncultured bacterium. Its description in RNAcentral is "partial 16S ribosomal RNA". It matches the Rfam family "Bacterial small subunit ribosomal RNA", at positions 524 to 776 of the family's 1533-position model. The record is from RNAcentral.